CUUCAACAAAGUAAUAGAAAAGAGUUCUGUGCUUCUUGUCAUCCACAGUGACAUAUCCUGAGAAUUGUUGAAAGCCCACAUGGGGUUGUCCAGGAAGCCUGAUAAUCUUAUCAGAAUGAGAUAAAGAUGAAGAAGAUUCUAACCCAAGAGAAAUGCAUAGCUGAACCACCAGUGAAGCCAAUGCCAUGGCUUUCCAUAUUUGAGAAUACAUAAUUUCAAAAAGUGGAGAAAAAAAAAUGACUUGGACAAGGCAGUUGGGGAUAAGAAAUACCCGUUUAAAAUGUUGCUCUGUGGACGACGCAGAGGUGAGGGUGGGCGCACUAAAUAAAUAGCUAGGCUUGUAUAUUAUUAUGAUUACAUUUCUUACUUUUUGCUUGCAGGCCUGAAAAUGGUGUUGAAAGAGAUGUG
This 408-nucleotide unclassified non-coding RNA is filed under the name Hevea brasiliensis (rubber tree). The record is from RNAcentral. Lineage: Eukaryota; Viridiplantae; Streptophyta; Magnoliopsida; Malpighiales; Euphorbiaceae.